UACGUAGGGUGCGAGCGUUAAUCGGAAUUACUGGGCGUAAAGCGUGCGCAGGCGGCGCGUUAAGACAGGUGUGAAAGCCCCGAGCUUAACUUGGGAAUUGCGCUUGUGACUGGCGUGCUGGAGUGUGGCAGAGGGAGGUGGAAUUCCACGUGUAGCAGUGAAAUGCGUAGAGAUGUGGAGGAACACCGAUGGCGAAGGCAGCCUCCUGGGCCAGCACUGACGCUCAGUGCACGAAAGCGUGGGGAGCGAA
This 250-nucleotide ribosomal RNA is filed under the name uncultured bacterium. Its description in RNAcentral is "partial 16S ribosomal RNA". It matches the Rfam family "Bacterial small subunit ribosomal RNA", at positions 524 to 772 of the family's 1533-position model. The record is from RNAcentral.